AGAUGGAGUGGAGGAAGAACAAGAAGAAAAUAUAUCUGGAAGGUUGAUCGUUUUCAUAAGGGAGAGAAAGUGAGGCAUUUAUUGCAGGGCACCAAGAAAGGAGAAUUGUGCAGUUCGUCCUGAAGACCCAGACUCCCUGAAGUCUUACAUGAUAUUCCAGACUUGUGCUUCCCUUGCCCCAGUCUUGGAAUCACCCAUUUUGAUUGCACAAAUUCUAUCAAUACAUCUUGAAGCUUGCUCUUUCUUCUACCAGUUCAAAUCCACUGCUGAGUCCCUCUAAGAGCAUUUCGUGGGCUUAUUGGAGAUAUCCUCAGAUUGCUCAUCAUCACUUACCUACUGCACUCUACACCAUGUAAGAAGUGUCUUUCACCUCCCGCCGUGAUUCUGAGGCCUCCCCAGCCGUGUGGAAUUAUGUGCUGGAAAAUGUGCCAGCUAUAUUCCCCUGGCUGUCCCAUGUUGCAGUAUCAGUGAAGACCAACGGGAAGAAGUGAGGGGACUGAGGCUGAAGUCUGAGUCAAGGCACAUCCAUGUUAUACCUACGUGAAUGAAGACUUCUGGGACUUGUCAAUAAAGAAAUGUCUAAAAUAAGAGUUCAGACAAAGAGAAUUUGAAGUGGGUCCAGGAGGUUUCCUAUAGAUAUACAAAUGUCGUAUUUCAAUUUCCUGCUAAGGUAAGCAUUGCAGUAUCCCUAGUAGUUGCAGCAUUCAGCCUUUGCUGAAAUGUUUUAAUUAAAGCAAUCAGUUUUUUUGUGUGUUUCCCAUAAUUAUAUUAUCUGAAAGCUAUCCUAGAAGGCUUUCUCAUGAAGACCAGAAAUUUGGAUGCUGUACUCAAAAGAGGGAUUACCAAAAAUGCUUAGAGGAUGGACCAUUCAAUGAGCCACCAUAAGGAAAAGGAAGAUACCAUUUAAAAUUCCAGAGUCCGAGGAAUAGCAACUAUGCUUUCAAACAAAACACUCUGUCACUAGUACUUGACAGCAAAAGGCGGGAAAUGGGAGAAUGCCUGAAGAUGGAGAUAAAAUUCUGUGAGGAAAGAAGAGAGUCUAGGAAGGAAGAACAGGGAGAGGCAUACAUGGCCCCUAGUUGAAAAAGGGCCCGAACAGCAUUUGUUUUCACAUCAGGAGUACAGGUUCUGCUGUGUUUCUGGAGUCCAAUGCAUCAUAUGUAAGGUAGGGCUGGCGGCUGUAACAGAGCAUCUGCAGAUGCUGUGGGCUUGAAAUGGGUGUUCGUUACAACCGCUUCUCAAGAUUACUCACAUCAUACUCCAUCUGCUUCUGGCAUCUUAGUUGACAGAAUGUAUCAGAUGCAUUUAAUAAAGCAAGUGCAAAAAAAUGUAAAGAGAGAUAUUUAAAUAUGUGUAAAGAAUCUUAUAUUGAAAUUAAUUUCUAUUCAUUCUGUAUCUUUCAACCAUUACUAUUUGCCUUGAU
This is a long non-coding RNA of Gorilla gorilla gorilla (western lowland gorilla), 1423 nucleotides long. RefSeq lists it as uncharacterized. The record is from RefSeq and is a predicted model, not a curated record. NCBI's taxonomy places the organism in Eukaryota, Metazoa, Chordata, Mammalia, Primates, Hominidae. The transcript is spliced from 7 exons.